GUAGUUCAGAGGCGCCCACCCUCACUCCGCCCAGUAGCCAUAGAGUGGCUCCACAAGGGCGGCCCAGGAAACUAUACCUCCACAGCUCGCGCUCGGCCACCCGGACUACAACACCCAGCAAGCCCUGCGGCCCCGCGUCUGACUUGCGCAGUAGCCUCCGUUGUAAAAUGCUAUGACAACAGGGCGAAGGCGGCUUGGAUUUAGGCUGGAGUGGGGUGGUGUCUUCCGCAGGCUGUUGUCUUGCAGUCUCACCCCUCUUACAGUCUCCCUGGUGGUUUCAUCCUCUCUGCGAGCAUCCAGACCUGGAGUUUUUCUCUCUUGUCUUGUGGCUUCCGAGGGAUCCAUGUCGUUUCCCCUGCUUGUCUCUGAGGGAUGACAAGUGGGUGCAGAAGAUCUUGGAGGGACUUAUUUCAACUCCGUGGAGCUUGUGUUACUGCUUGGCAGGAGUCUGUCUGUCUGCGGACGUGGAAAACUUCGAACACAAGACCAAGAGACCACAGCAGUUUAGAUGGACUAAGCUGAUUUUAUUAGCAGCUCCUCCAGAGCAAGACAUUAAAUUGUACAGCAUUAUUAGCGUGUACCAAAAGAAGGGUCCGAAACCUGGGCAGCGCAUGCGCAGAAGCAAGGUUGAAAGGAAAUGUCCUUAUUUAAAGCCCGUGACUGGUGGUCUACUGUGCUGGGAGAGAAAGAAGAGUUUGAUCAGGGCUGUUUGUGCUUGGCUGACGUGGACAACAGCAGGAAUGGACAGGAUAAAAUCAUUGUGGGCAGCUUCAUGGGCUACCUGA
RNAcentral lists this long non-coding RNA (785 nucleotides) under Rattus norvegicus (Norway rat). RNAcentral describes it as "long non-coding RNA NONRATT033594". The record is from RNAcentral. Lineage: Eukaryota; Metazoa; Chordata; Mammalia; Rodentia; Muridae.